UGGUUCUGGCAUCGAUGAAGAACGCAGCGAAAUGCGAUAAGUAAUGUGAAUUGCAGAAUUCAGUGAAUCAUCGAAUCUUUGAACGCACAUUGCGCCCGCCAGCAUUCUGGCGGGCAUGCCUGUUCGAGCGUCAUUUCAACCCUCAAGCCCCCCGCGGCUUGGUGUUGGGGCUCCUCCUGCGGCGACGCAGGGCCCCUAAAGACAGUGGCGGACCCGCCGAGGCUCCGAGCGCAGUAGUUUUACGCCUCGCUCUGGAGUUUCCCCGGCGGGCUUCUUGCCGUGAAACCCCCCAAACAUACCAAAGGUUGACCUCGGAUCAGGUAGGAAUACCCGCUGA
RNAcentral lists this unclassified non-coding RNA (337 nucleotides) under uncultured fungus. RNAcentral's name for it is "partial contains 5.8S ribosomal RNA and internal transcribed spacer 2". The stretch from base 1 to 133 matches the Rfam family "5.8S ribosomal RNA", at positions 22 to 154 of the family's 154-position model. The record is from RNAcentral. Lineage: Eukaryota; Fungi.